GGCUUCAUAGCUCAGUCAUAGCCUCAUAGCUUGGUCAUAGCUUCAUGGCUUGGUAUCACAAGGUCACAGGUUCAAACCCUGUUGAAGUCC
RNAcentral lists this transfer RNA (90 nucleotides) under Acropora cervicornis. Its description in RNAcentral is "tRNA-Pro". Lineage: Eukaryota; Metazoa; Cnidaria; Anthozoa; Scleractinia; Acroporidae. The record is from RNAcentral.